GGAGAGGUGGUUGAGUUGGCUGAAGGCGCAGCAUUGGAAAUGCUGUGAACGUUAAUAGCGUUCCGAGGGUUCGAAUCCCUUCCUCUCCUCCA
Molecule: transfer RNA, 92 nt
Filed under: Clostridia bacterium
Lineage: Bacteria; Bacillati; Bacillota; Clostridia
Description: tRNA-Ser
Rfam family: tRNA
About the family: Transfer RNA (tRNA) molecules are approximately 80 nucleotides in length. Their secondary structure includes four short double-helical elements and three loops (D, anti-codon, and T loops).
Source: RNAcentral